This 138-nucleotide small nucleolar RNA is filed under the name Sphenodon punctatus (tuatara). RNAcentral describes it as "Small nucleolar RNA SNORA8 (ENSSPUG00000015701.1)". It matches the Rfam family "Small nucleolar RNA SNORA8". Rfam says of the family: ACA8 is a member of the H/ACA class of snoRNA that guide the sites of modification of uridines to pseudouridines. Lineage: Eukaryota; Metazoa; Chordata; Lepidosauria; Sphenodontia; Sphenodontidae. The record is from Rfam by way of RNAcentral.
UGCACUGUAUGGUAUCUGCAUCCAGCGGCAUCCUCCUGUUGGAUGCUCAAAAAGCAGUGCCACAGCAAUUUCAACAUCUGGCAUCGUUGGUUUUCAUGCUGUUGUGCUUGUUAAGCCUGGUAUUGUUGAUACAAAUCA